This 449-nucleotide ribosomal RNA is filed under the name uncultured bacterium. Its description in RNAcentral is "bacterial SSU rRNA". It matches the Rfam family "Bacterial small subunit ribosomal RNA", at positions 329 to 794 of the family's 1533-position model. The record is from RNAcentral.
CUCCAGACUCCUACGGGAGGCAGCAGUGGGGGAUAUUGCACAAUGGGGGGGACCCUGAUGCAGCGACGCCGCGUGGGUGAAGGAGCGUUUCGGCGCGUAAAGCCCUAUCGGCAGGGAAGAAGGAGGACGGGACCUGACUAAGAAGCCCCGGCUAACUACGUGCCAGCAGCCGCGGUAAUACGUAGGGGGCAAGCGUUAUCCGGAUUUACUGGGUGUAAAGGGGGCGCAGACGGCAGCGCAAGCCAGGAGUGAAUGCCCGGGGCCCAACCCCGGGACUGCUCUUGGAACUGCGCGGCUGGAGUGCAGGCGGGGCAGGCGGAAUUCCUGGUGUAGCGGUGAAAUCCGUAGAUAUCAGGAGGAACACCGGCGGCGAAGGCGGCCUGCUGGACCGCGACUGACGUUGAGGCUCGAAAGCGUGGGGAGCGAACAGGAUUAGAUCCCCUAGUACA